This 1156-nucleotide long non-coding RNA is filed under the name Oryctolagus cuniculus (rabbit). Its description in RNAcentral is "lncRNA (ENSOCUG00000034067.1)". The record is from RNAcentral. Lineage: Eukaryota; Metazoa; Chordata; Mammalia; Lagomorpha; Leporidae.
CACCUUCUCCUGCAGCGUCCCUGGGCACAGACUGCACCUGCGCGCCCACCUUGGCUUAACUCUUGGGGAGGCCAGCAGCGCCGUGCGUGCGCAGGCCGAGCAGCUGGGAGCCGCCUUCCCUUUGCAGCCCGCCAGGGUGUGGCGGUGCAGCUACGCAGCGGCGCUCCCCAACGGCCCCAACCGUCCACCGCCUUGAGCCGUUGGUGGCUUCGAAAUCGCGUGCGUGGCCUUGGCGUGAAGCCGCUUGGCGUACGGCCCCUGGUGCGCGCCGCCGCCUCUGCUUGGAGAAGAAAUAAAAAAAUAAAAAUGUGGUCCGUAUCUGUGUGCACAAGAUUACCCAGGCUUCCUAAGACGCUCAAAGGGAGACUCCUCCUGAGAACGCUGUUCCUGAGACAGUUGUCUAUGGCCUGGAGAUGUGGUAGAAUUCAUCACCCACAUCAUCUGAGCCGGGUGUUUUCUGAACGGUUUUAAUGAUUUCGUUUCUUUUCUGGUUAAAGGACACUCCCAGCUAUGUGUUUCCUCUUGUGUCAGUUUUGGCAAACUUUGUGUUCUAGAAAGUUGUCCAUUUUCCAUAAAUGUUCAAAUCUACUAGUACUGUCUCCACUUUGUCUCCUGUUAUUUGUGCUUUCCUUUCUUUAACUGAAAUCGGCAUUCUUGUCCUUAAAUCUAUUCACAGCAUCAUCGUUUCAGCCUGAGAAUCCCCUCAGUAUUAUACUUUUUUAAAAGUCAACUCUGUUCUUCUUAACUACUUCUUUCUGUAUUCUCUGGGUUUAUUGCUUUGCUUUUCUGUUGUUUUUUAAAGAUUUAUUUAUUUAUUUGAAAGUCAGAGUUACACAGACAGAGAAGGAGAGACAGGGGUCUUCCAACUGCUGGUUCACUCCCCAAUUGGCCGAAAUGGCUGGAGCUGUGCCGAUCAGAAGCCAGGAGCCUGGAGCUUCUUCCAUGGCCCCUACGUGGGUGCAGGGCCCAAGGGCUUGGGCCAUCUUCCACUGCUUUCCCAAGACCAUAGCAGAGAGCUGGAUUGAAAGUGGAGCAGUCAGGGAUCGAACCAGCACCCAUAUGGGAUGACAGCACUGCAGGCCAGGGCUUUAACUCACUGCACCACAGUGCCGGCCCCCAAAAUAAAUCUUUUUUAAAAAAAAGAAAUGUGUGGAAG